UACGGAGGGAGCUAGCGUUGUUCGGAAUUACUGGGCGUAAAGCGCACGUAGGCGGCUUUGUAAGUUAGAGGUGAAAGCCCGGAGCUCAACUCCGGAACUGCCUUUAAGACUGCAUCGCUUGAAUCCAGGAGAGGUGAGUGGAAUUCCGAGUGUAGAGGUGAAAUUCGUAGAUAUUCGGAAGAACACCAGUGGCGAAGGCAGCUCACUGGACUGGUAUUGACGCUGAGGUGCGAAAGCGUGGGGAGCAAACAGG
RNAcentral lists this ribosomal RNA (253 nucleotides) under uncultured bacterium. Its description in RNAcentral is "partial 16S ribosomal RNA". It matches the Rfam family "Bacterial small subunit ribosomal RNA", at positions 524 to 776 of the family's 1533-position model. The record is from RNAcentral.